This is a long non-coding RNA of Prosopis cineraria, 5910 nucleotides long. RefSeq lists it as uncharacterized. The transcript is spliced from 6 exons. NCBI's taxonomy places the organism in Eukaryota, Viridiplantae, Streptophyta, Magnoliopsida, Fabales, Fabaceae. The record is from RefSeq and is a predicted model, not a curated record.
CUGUGAAAUUGUGAGAGAGAGAGAGAGAGAGAUCUGAGGGACAUCUCCCACUUUCUUGAUUUCUGUCAAUCUCUCUUUGUUGCCCCCGGCUCCCCUCCAUCUCUCUUGUCUUGCCCCAUGCUCUGCCUGCGUCUCAUUCGUCUCUAUCUGCAGAACACCCCAAGCCUUGAAAGAUCCAUCUGUUUGACUCCUAAUGACGGUGACCCACAACAAAGAAGAUCAAGAUCAAGAUCUGAGUUUUUGUUGAUUUGGGUGAAAUCUUUUUUAAAUAUUAACCAAACUCUAGUAUCUGACUUGACGAUUUCUCUAAAAAAUAUCAUCCACAUCAACCCUUCUAUUCAUCUUAUUUUUAUGAGAAAUAAAGAGAAGCCUACUAGCGUGCAAGAUAGUUUUGUUUUGUUUUUGUUUUUGCUUUUUUUGUUUGUGUGAUGAUCUCCCUAUUUUUGAAGCUUCAUUGAAGUUACUCAAAAAUGAAACAGUGGACAUUAUUAUUUGGACUGCCAAAAUUGACACAGAUUAUUGAGUUUUUGCACCUUCCAUGUGAGAAAGGUUUUUGGAGACGUAGUGUUCUCUUAUCGAAAAUGACUUCAAAUGUUGACCAUUGUGCUAUGUCUUCACGGUCUAUCACUUAUGCCUAGGUCAUGAUUGCAACAGGACCAAGUUAUUGUGGAUGCCUGCAUCACUUUCCAAUUGGGUAGAAGUGUUUCUCAAUUCUCAGAUUGGAAGAACUCUAAAUGAACUUCUUUAGAGCCAACAGCUUAAAUUGACUGCAGAUGCUGAUUAUUCAGGGAAAAAGGCAAAAGAAAUGGCAUGAAUGGGAGAAACUUAAUCUUAUUAUGCACAUAUUGGGGAAAAAAGCUCAUUCUCUUACUACAAUAGGACACAGUAUUUUAGUAACAUUCUUGCUCAAUUCCUUAUGGAGAAGAUGCAAUACUACAGAGCUACAGGUAUUGCAUGAAGGUGUUCGACAGCUACCAGGUGCUUGGAGGCCAUUUAAGGUCACAUCAAAAAAUGAUGUAGAAAUAUCCAGAUUUUCAAAGCCACAACAACUCUCUUGUUGGUAGCAUCACUUAUUUCAAUCCAGUACCAAAGGGCCUAGGUAUAACUUCCUUGGGAGCUCUUAUGAAGAAUUAUUUUUCAUCCAAAGCUAAUACAUAUCAAGCACACUCUUCUCUUGUCGUUUCUCGUUUGUGCAGCUGAUACAUAUCAGAGUCUUGUUCGUCCUUUAUUGCUGCUCUGUGUCUGUCGCUAGUCCACCACUCGUCCAUCUCUUUUCCUUCUCUCCUUCACCUCUCCUCCGCCAUCUCAUAGAUUCGGAUCUCUUCCUUCCCUAAGCUUCUCCUUCCUUCAUUAACGGUGGUUGCAUUUCACCGUUGAUUUCUCCCCAUCUCUUUCAUGGAUCAAGCUCAUUUUGGAACUUGGACGGCAUUUCGAAGCUGAGAGAACUCCGACCAGCUGCUUUUGCAACCUAUGGAGUGCAAAAGUGAACAUUUCGACUAGCUUGUGGAACUCCAAUCCUCUUCUCCGAUCUGCUCUUCGAUCUGCAAGUGUCUGGAUGAUGGCAAAAGAAUCCAACUCUAGCGUAAUUCUGUUUGUACCCAGCAGUCCAACAAGUAAUCAUCAAGACAGUCCAAAGUACAUUUAAGCUGAUCGAUAGACUUCACCUAAAAUUAAAACAUCAUCUCCAAACAUUAAAUGAGAAAUCUUAGGUCCAUUCUUACAAAAAAAUUAAGCUCUAAAUCAAGCUUCAUAACAAAGAAACCUCUUCCUAUUCUCAUUCUCUUCAUAACAUGUAAGAUUAUUGAGCAAACUACAUUCUCUUGGUGCCUAUUUGGAAACACCCAUUUAAUCAAUUAUUAAGGGAUACACUCCAAACAAGCAACUAUUGAACUAGUUUGUGAAGUAAAAUAAUAUUAAAAACAAUCUACCAGACCUGAGAUAAAUUAAACAUUAAUUAAUAAUUAGACAAUCCAAGUAGUUUGCAACUCAUACUGUCUUUAAAAUCCUAUCUUUGAUUUUUAUUAUCAGUGGAUCAUAAGCAUAUUUUUAUCGAUGUGAAACUUUAUGACCAUCAUAUAGGACCUAAAUCAAAUUGUUUUAGACGGUGAUUCUCGGUUUACAUCAAAUUUAUGGUAGGCUAUGCAAAGGGCUAUGGGCACGGAUAUGAAGUUUAGUAUGUCUUAUCAUCCACAGACAAAUGGAUAGACUGAGUGGACGAUCCAGACAUUAGAGGACAUGUUGAGAUUGUGUGCCCUAGAGCUUCAGGGAAGCUGGGAUAAGCAUUUGCCUCUGGUAGAAUUUGCUUACAAUAAUAGUUAUUAUGCCAGUAUUCAAAUGACUCCUUAUAAAGCAUUGUAUGGAAGUAAGUGCAAAUCACCUCUCUGUUGGUAUAAGUUGAGUGAGAGAGGACAUUGAUGGGACUGGAUGUGGUAGAUGAGACCACAGAGAAAAUCAAAUUGAUCCAAUAAAAACUUCUUACGGCAUAAAGUAGAUAAAAAAGUUUGCAGAUAAUUGUCGUAAGGACUUGUCUUUUGAGGUUGGGGAUCAUGUAUUUCUCAAGGUUUUUUUAUUGACGGAAGUUGGACGCUCAAUUUAAGCUAAAAAAAUUAUCUUUUCGAUAUAUGGGUUCUUUUAAGGUUUUGAAGAAAAUUGGGCCAGUGGCUUAUCAGUUGGCAUUAUCGCCUUAGUUUGCGGUCUAGAUGUUUUAUGUGUCACAGUUGAAGAAGUACCAGCCAGACCUGUUGUAUGUGAUAGAACUUGAGGAGGUUGAAAUUUAGGAGAAUUUAACCUACCAGACUGAACCAGAUCGUAUUGUGGAUGCUAAAGAUAAAUAUCUCAGAAAUAAGAGAGUUUGGUUGCUAAAAGUGAUCUAGAAAGGGACGGCUCUGGGAGAUACAACCUAGGAGAUUGAGGAUCAAAUGAGGAAGGAGUAUCCAUAGUUGUUUCCUUAAGUAUGUUUUUCUCUUUGACUUAUGAAUUAGCUUAGAUUUUGGGGAUAAAAAUUCUUUUUAAAGGAGGGGAGAAUGUAACAUUCUGAAAUUUUAAGACUUGAAUCUAUUUUAAAAUAAAUGCAUGACAUAGGCUGGUAUGACAUUUCCUAAUCGGCAGAAUGCCCCUUGGCACUAGUUAGCUCGCAGGUAAACUUUAUACCCACUUGUACCUCCACAGGCACAAAAUAUAAUCUAAGGCAUAAUCGAAUCCACCUAAUCGCUUAUGCUUCUUCAACGUGCAUCCUAAGCAGUCGAAGCUAACUCCCUCCCAGAGCUAGCCCGACUUACUUUUCAUGUGAGGGCUACUUUAGCCUAGGCACUUAACCUCACACUUUCUAUAUCGAAUUUCCUCCUUACUGAGAGGUGUUGAACAUUCAAUCCACUAACCACUUUAGUAUACUAUUGGCAAUGUGCCAUAGAAUAUUACAAGUUCACACCUCCCUAUUGGUGAACUCCUACUGACAUCAUGCCGUUCACUCUUGUCUACUUCUCCCGAGUAUUAACCACUUCAAUACUAUAAGGUGGUAUAACAAAUAUCACUCCUCCCUUAAGUGGUUCCUUAGCCUAUCUAAGGUACCUAACCCAAUUACACUUCCUUAAGUGCAACUUCCAUUCUCUAUAAUUAUAAUGCAUGCAAACAAUCUCAUUUUUAUAAAAACAUUAUUGUUAAACAAAUAGAAAACAUAUAUGUACUAUUAUCUAAGUAGUACCUCAUAAGUCCUUAUAAAACACAAUUAAUUGCAUUUAAUCAUUUAAAAUAUGUAAUACAUGAUAGCUAGUAAUAUUUAUUCAAAAAUAGCUAAACAAAGUAAUAAGAAAUAUAGAUUCCCUUGUUACUUCAACCUUUUUAUACUAAAAGAAUUUUUCCUUGUAUAAAAUGAAGCUUCGCUUGUUCCUUAUUCUCCAAUUAAGUUCCACCAAUAAUUCCCUAUAACAUAUAAAUGAUCUAUAUCACUUUUCAUGGCAAAUAACAUUAAUAAAGACUAUAAAUCAUACCACACAACUUGGGUCAAUGAGCUAUAAUCCAUUCUAAUGGUUCAUAUAUCAAAACAACCAUUCAUAUAGUAUCACUUAAGCACUAAAACCAUUUAUUAGCCACCAAUAGGCCUAUUUCCAAUUCAUAUAAUUUUUAAUUAAUUAAAAACCUUCAUUUAAUGUCAUCAACUUUCAUAAUUAGCCCUUAUAAUUAAAACUAAAGCUUAAUUUAAAUCUUAUUGGAUUUAAAUAGCACAAUUAUAACUAAAUCAAUAGGCUUAAACUAUUGAAGAGUGAAAUUCAAUCUCUUAGGGUUUAACUUUUUCCCUAAAACUCCCUUUUUCAUCUAAUUGCCCAUUUAAAAUAUUAAAACACCAUAUAGAAACUCAAAACAACCUCUAUGGGACUAAAGGAAUCAAGAAUUUUUCUCUUUCAAAAACUCAAGAAAACCAAGAAGGAAGGAAGAUGAUUGAAAAUCUUCUACUUGAGAGUGGAACUACUCCUAUGUACUCUCAAUUUUAUGUGGUUGACACAGAGAAUGAGAUUAAUAAUCUCAUAUAUGUGGUAAGGUACAAGUAUAUUUUAAGUGGAUACAUUUACAAUCAUUUAAGUGGUUAUAUUGUUUUUUUUCGUAAUUUUGUUCUUUAUUUUAAUUUACAAGGGAUGGAAUAAAAAGGAUCACAUAGAUCUGAUUAUUGUGGAGAAACUAACAUCUUUGCUUGACAAUAUUAAUAUAUUAGUAAAGCUUUAUAGAUUUUCUUCUAAAAUUGUUACGACCAGUUGCAAAUAUGAUAUUAAAAUGUGAUUAUUGAGUGAAAGAUUAGCUAGUCAGAGGAAUUAUGAUUUACUUGUGUCUUCUGAUAUUGCUGCCCUAAUAAUUGGAGAAUUUGACCACUCUUAUCAUUCGAGGGAUAUUAUUGUGAGGAAACAAUCUAGUGAAUGUAAUAUUGAGCUUUGUAUGCUGUACUACCUCUUUAGUACCUAAUUUUCUUUCCAUGUGGUACUGGAGGGUAUGAAUCUAAUAUUGAGCAUGCAUAUCAAUUUGAGCAUAGAAUUAUGAAGAAAAAAUGGUUUAUGUAAGGGAGUUCUUAGCUUAUUGCUGAUGAGUAGUGACAAUGAAUGUCCUAUGUUACUCCAUUUUGAAAAAAUUAUUGCAAUAGUAUAUUGUUGAUGGUUAUAUUAUGAUUGAAGCUGAUCGACUUCAUUUCAUUCGAUGAAAUCAAACAAAAUUAUGUGUUGGUAAGUACAAACAUUUGUCAGAUGUUAUCUUGAGGGGAGAAGAUCAUGCUAUGUCUACUGGUAAGUGCAUAAUUUUGCAGUCUUCCUUUGUUGGCAGUCCUAGGUGUCUUCUUGAAAAUUAUCAUGAUGCAAUGGCUAUUGCUUGAAUUAAAGGUCAUCUUGAUUUAUUUUUGACAUUCAAGUGUAACCUUGCUUGGCUUGAAUUGAAAUGAGUUUGUGAAAUAUAUUGUUCUACGAUGUAACAUCCUAAAAAUUAAGCCCCUGGUAAUUAACGUAAUUAAAGGUAAUUAAGUUGAAUUUAUAUGAUAUAUGGUCAGAGGGGACUAAUGAGUGUUUUUGAUUGUGAUUUCAGCCAUAGAUUUAGAUCCAAAGUGAAAUUGGGUCACUUUAGCAUCAAAAGUGGAGGAAAACAAAAGAAGAUGACCUCUGUGCCACAUGCCGCAAUAUGUAUGUGGUGUGCUGCAACCCAUGGAGCAAGAAAGAUGAGGAGGAGCCUUUCUGUAUCACAUGUCGUAGCAUGUGUGAUGUGCAUUAUAGUGCAGGACCUAUUUUCUACAAAAAUAAGUCGCACAUCAGAUCAAAAUAGGAAAGAAAAGAGAAAAUAAUGAGAGGGAGAAGAGGAGAGCUUGAGCUCAACUAGGACAAGACAUUGUAAAGGAUUUUUAGAGGGUUUAAAGCUCCCAAUCACUAAGAUAAAUCUUUCCUA